CUGGCUCAGGAUGAACGCUAGCGACAGGCUUAACACAUGCAAGUCGAGGGGCAGCAUAAAAGUAGCAAUACUUGGUGGCGACCGGCGCACGGGUGAGUAACGCGUAUGCAACCUACCUAUCAGAGGGGAAUAACCCGGCGAAAGUCGGACUAAUACCGCAUAAAACAGGGACACCGCAUGGUGAUAUUUGUUAAAGAAAUUCGCUGAUAGAUGGGCAUGCGUUCCAUUAGGUAGUUGGUGAGGUAACGGCUCACCAAGCCGACGAUGGAUAGGGGAACUGAGAGGUUGGUCCCCCACACUGGUACUGAGACACGGACCAGACUCCUACGGGAGGCAGCAGUGAGGAAUAUUGGUCAAUGGACGAGAGUCUGAACCAGCCAAGUCGCGUGCAGGAAGAAUGUCCCUAUGGAUUGUAAACUGCUUUUGCAGGGGAAUAAAGUGCAUCACGUGUGAUGUUUUGUAUGUACUCUGCGAAUAAGGAUCGGCUAACUCCGUGCCAGCCGCCGC
This 507-nucleotide ribosomal RNA is filed under the name uncultured bacterium. Its description in RNAcentral is "bacterial SSU rRNA". It matches the Rfam family "Bacterial small subunit ribosomal RNA", at positions 19 to 518 of the family's 1533-position model. The record is from RNAcentral.